Molecule: ribosomal RNA, 293 nt
Filed under: uncultured bacterium
Lineage: Bacteria
Description: partial 16S ribosomal RNA
Rfam family: Archaeal small subunit ribosomal RNA
Source: RNAcentral
GUGCCAGCAGCCGCGGUAAUACCGGCAGCACGAGUGAUGGCCGAUAUUAUUGGGCCUAAAGCGUCCGUAGCUGGCCGGACAAGUCCGUUGGGAAAUCCACUUGCCCAACAGGUGGGCGUCCGGCGGAAACUGUGUGGCUUGGAACCGGAAGGCUCAGAGGGUACGUCCGGGGUAGGAGUGAAAUCCCGUAAUCCCGGACGGACCACCGAUGGCGAAAGCACUCUGAGAAGACGGCUUCGACAGUGAGGGACGAAAGCUAGGGUCUCAAACCGGAUUAGAAACCCUGGUAGUCC